This 495-nucleotide ribosomal RNA is filed under the name uncultured bacterium. Its description in RNAcentral is "partial 16S ribosomal RNA". It matches the Rfam family "Bacterial small subunit ribosomal RNA", at positions 28 to 507 of the family's 1533-position model. The record is from RNAcentral.
GACGAACGCUGGCGGCGUGCCUAAUACAUGCAAGUAGAACGCUGAAGGAGGAGCUUGCUUCUCUGGAUGAGUUGCGAACGGGUGAGUAACGCGUAGGUAACCUGCCUGGUAGCGGGGGAUAACUAUUGGAAACGAUAGCUAAUACCGCAUAAUAGUAGAUGUUGCAUGACAUUUGCUUAAAAGGUGCAAUUGCAUCACUACCAGAUGGACCUGCGUUGUAUUAGCUAGUUGGUGGGGUAACGGCUCACCAAGGCGACGAUACAUAGCCGACCUGAGAGGGUGAUCGGCCACACUGGGACUGAGACACGGCCCAGACUCCUACGGGAGGCAGCAGUAGGGAAUCUUCGGCAAUGGACGGAAGUCUGACCGAGCAACGCCGCGUGAGUGAAGAAGGGUGUCGGAUCGUAAAGCUCUGCUGUAAGAGAAGAACGAGUGUGAGAGUGGAAAGUUCACACUGUGACGGUAUCUUACCAGAAAGGGACGGCUAACUACGUG